AGCUGGGAAUGGUGUCUGGUACAAAGAUCGGAGCAGAAUUCCACUGAUGCCAGAGAAGCUGGAGUCGAGGGAAUCACGACCGCUACCAGAACCUGCAAAGGAAGUCUAAACUAGGGUUGGAGGUGCUCCGAUAAGACCCUCCGAUGCUCAAGUCAGUACUCUGCUUCAACAGAAAUGGAGCACUCGAAUAGAAUUUUAGCAGAGUUUAGAGAUAGUGCUUAGAGCUUCGAGGAGAACGU
RNAcentral lists this long non-coding RNA (239 nucleotides) under Elaeis guineensis (African oil palm). RNAcentral describes it as "long non-coding RNA (EGUI_LNC050967)". Lineage: Eukaryota; Viridiplantae; Streptophyta; Magnoliopsida; Arecales; Arecaceae. The record is from RNAcentral.